UCCCUAUCUUUAAGUACAGGGGCUAAAGUGAUAAUAGCUGAUAAUUAUCAUCUCAACGUGUUUUAGAUCAGUGAGGACUGAGAAGACUCUUGCUUGCCGGCUUUUAGGGUUUAUUACGAGCGUUUUAGGGUUUUUCUGAGUACGGAUACGGCCACCGAUUCUUUCUCAAUCAAAGCUCUGUAAUGUAUGUUCUUUCCGUUUAUUGAUAAUCUACAUGAUGUAUUUGUUCAAUUUUUUGUGAAUAUCUUACCUGUAGCGUUGCUGUUUGUGUACGUAAUCUUGAGGAAUGAGUUUUAUCUUGAAUUAUUUAUGUUGUCUGAACAUGUUCUUAAAGAGUAAUGAUUAAUUUUUCUUCACCUUUUUUGUGCAUUUCAAACUACAUUAAAUCUUCUAUAGAACAUGUGUUACAUGCGUUUGGUAUGUGUUAAAAGUUAAAGCCUUUUUAAAUAAGCUUUGUCACACACCCUCUGUGUCCUUAUCUGUUGUCCCCUUUAAGGUAGCCAAGUAUACGGAUUAUAACAAUAUUAUAAAAAAUAGAGUAAAUUACAAAUUGGUCCCUAUGCUUUACUCCAAAUCGCAAAUUUGGUCGAGUUUUGAAAUCUUCCCAAAGUCGUCUUCACGUUUGCAUCAUUACAGAUUUUAUAGUCCAUCUGAAAACAGAAUAUAAAAUAAGUAUUAAAAGAAACAACAUUAGACCAAACUUGAGAUUUUGCAUAAAGCAUGUCGACCAAAUCCAUAACUUAAGGACAACUUCGAGAAGAAUUAUUAUAAAAUGGACCAAAUUUGUAAUUACUUCAAAAAAAAUUAAUUACGUUUGAUUGGAGAUCUUAUUUGUGUAGGGGACAAUAGGGUGUGGGCAUAAAUAAGGAUACAUUGGACUUGAAACAUAAUUAAUGUUGUUAAUUCAUCAAAAGCUUCAAAAUCCAGUGUUAAGGGUUUAUGUUAUAAGUGUAUAAUCAAAUAAAAAAAACACAGUGUCAGUGGGUUUCUCUUUGCAGCAUACGAUCUACUUACUAGCAGAUAGCAAUGGCUGGCAAAAGCUCUAUCUUGGAUCAGAGUGUUCAAGAAACAGAUUUGCAAAACGCAUUGGACUAUGCUACAAGUGUUUACAAAUCUUCUCUCUACCUUGCCCUUGCUAGAGUAAGGGAAGCCCGUGAUAAGGCAUUUGAGUAUUUUAGAUAUAUGCCAAGAGCCGGUGCCAUAAGGGAAAAAGUUAAACAAAAUAUUCGUUUAACCUUAUUUAGAAGUAUUUAUAGGAUGCAUUAAAAGAAGCACAUGAGGAGGCUUUCUUGAAGGCAUUGGUGGCAUUUGAUUUUGCAACAAGGGUUGUAGGUUCUGGUGCACAAGAAUACAAAAGGUGUCUUGAGGAGUUUAUGACAAAUGAAUAUGAGGCUUUUGAGGAUUCACAGUGCAAAAGGGCAAUGGAACAUGCUGCUGAAGUUUUCAAUUCUGUUCUUAACACUCAAUCACAUAUGAUGAUGGGCAUUGUUAAAGAACCAAUUGGCUCCGUUUCAGUACAUUAUCAUUCUGCUAACAAAGGCAAUAAUCAGUUGUUAGUAGAAAACGCAUUGGACCAUGCUAAAGACGUUUACAAGUCUUCUUUCAAACCUCUAGUAGCUUUGUUAGCAGAAGCCGGUAAUAAGGCAGUAGCUGCUUUUAGGGGUGUGGCUGUAGGGGCGGGUGGGCCCGGUUCUAUAAGGAGAAAAUAUAAACAUAUUCUUCCUUCGUGACAUUAUGCGUAAGGAAUAUAAGGAUGCAAUAAAAAAAAAACACAUGAGGAGGCUGCUUCAAGCGCAUUGCUAGCUUUUGAAUGUACAGCAAGGGCUGUAGGUUCUGUUAAGGAAAAAUACAAAAGGGUUCUUGAGGAUUUCAUGAGAAACGAAUAUGAGGGUUUUGAAGAAUCAGAGAACAGAAGGAUCCUAGCAUAUGUUCUUGAACUUCUCCAAAUUCUCAACCUGGAUAUUCAACAUGAGUAGCACAUGUUCAAAAGGCAAUAGGUAGGGCAGGUUGUUCAGGUAUUAUGUAUAAAAAUUAGGGCAAAAAAUAUUUGUAGGUGUUGCUUUUGAAAAUGUCAUCUUUGACUGAUGGCUUCCAUCUGCCAAAAUUAUUGAUCCUACCAAUGAACAGUCUAUAAAUCUAGAUUGGCUAAUUAUUGAUCGGGUGAUAGUGCCCUAAGCAUGGGCUUAUGUU
Lactuca sativa (garden lettuce) is the source of this 2190-nucleotide non-coding RNA. Lineage: Eukaryota; Viridiplantae; Streptophyta; Magnoliopsida; Asterales; Asteraceae. The record is from RefSeq and is a predicted model, not a curated record.